GACCGGCGCACGGGUGCGUAACGCGUAUGCAACCUACCUGUAACAGGGGGAUAACACUGAGAAAUCGGUACUAAUACCGCAUAACACUAUGAGAGGCAUCUCUUGUGGUUGAAAGUUUCGGCGGUUACAGAUGGGCAUGCGUUGUAUUAGCUGGUUGGUAAGGUAACGGCUUACCAAGGCGACGAUACAUAGGGGGACUGAGAGGUUAACCCCCCACAUUGGUACUGAGACACGGACCAAACUCCUACGGGAGGCAGCAG
This 260-nucleotide ribosomal RNA is filed under the name uncultured bacterium. RNAcentral's name for it is "partial 16S ribosomal RNA". It matches the Rfam family "Bacterial small subunit ribosomal RNA", at positions 93 to 354 of the family's 1533-position model. The record is from RNAcentral.